Molecule: ribosomal RNA, 466 nt
Filed under: uncultured bacterium
Lineage: Bacteria
Description: partial 16S ribosomal RNA
Rfam family: Bacterial small subunit ribosomal RNA
Source: RNAcentral
GACGAACGCUGGCGGCGUGCUUAACACAUGCAAGUCGAACGGAAAGGCCAGGGCUUGCACCGGUACUCGAGUGGCGAACGGGUGAGUAACACGUGGGUGAUCUGCCUUUCACUCUGGGAUAAGAUUGGGAAACUGGGUCUAAUACCGGAUAUGAACUGCCUUUAGUGUGGGUGUUGUAAAGUUUUUUCGGUUCAAGAUGAGCUCGAGGCCUAUCAGCGUGUUGGUGGGGUAUUGGCCUACCAAGGCGUCGACGGGUCGCCGGCAUGGGAGGGUGUACGGCCACAUUAGGACUGAGAUACGGCCCAGACUCGUACGGGAGGCAGCAGUGGGAAAUCUUGCGGAAUGGCCGGACGCCUGAUGCAACGGCGCCGCGUUGGGGAUGCCGUCCUAUGGGUUAUAAACAACUGUCGACGGGGACGAAGCGUAAGUGACGGUACCUGUAUAAGAAGCCACGGCUAACUACGUG